This 497-nucleotide ribosomal RNA is filed under the name uncultured bacterium. RNAcentral describes it as "partial 16S ribosomal RNA". It matches the Rfam family "Bacterial small subunit ribosomal RNA", at positions 28 to 507 of the family's 1533-position model. The record is from RNAcentral.
GACGAACGCUGGCGGCGUGCCUAAUACAUGCAAGUUGAGCGCUGAAGGUUGGUACUUGUACCAACUGGAUGAGCAGCGAACGGGUGGGUAACGCGUGGGGAAUCUGCCUUUGAGCGGGGGACAACAUUUGGAAACGAAUGCUAAUACCGCAUAAAAACUUUAAACACAAGUUUUAAGUUUGAAAGAUGCAAUUGCAUCACUCAAAGAUGAUCCCGCGUUGUAUUAGCUAGUUGGUGAGGUAAAGGCUCACCAAGGCGAUGAUACAUAGCCGACCUGAGAGGGUGAUCGGCCACAUUGGGACUGAGACACGGCCCAAACUCCUACGGGAGGCAGCAGUAGGGAAUCUUCGGCAAUGGACGAAAGUCUGACCGAGCAGCGCCGCGUGAGUGAAGAAGGUUUUCGGAUCGUAAAACUCUGUUGGUAGAGAAGAACGUUGGUGAGAGUGGAAAGCUCAUCAAGUGACGGUAACUACCCAGAAAGGGACGGCUAACUACGUG